RNAcentral lists this transfer RNA (70 nucleotides) under Dipodomys ordii (Ord's kangaroo rat). It matches the Rfam family "tRNA". From Rfam's summary of the family: Transfer RNA (tRNA) molecules are approximately 80 nucleotides in length. Lineage: Eukaryota; Metazoa; Chordata; Mammalia; Rodentia; Heteromyidae. The record is from Rfam by way of RNAcentral.
GGCAUGGCUCAAGCAGAAGAGCACCUGCCUAGCAAGCACAAGACCCUGAGUUCAAAUCCCAGUACUGCCA